RNAcentral lists this ribosomal RNA (254 nucleotides) under uncultured bacterium. RNAcentral describes it as "partial 16S ribosomal RNA". It matches the Rfam family "Bacterial small subunit ribosomal RNA", at positions 524 to 776 of the family's 1533-position model. The record is from RNAcentral.
UACGGGGGGAGCAAGCGUUGUUCGGAUUUACUGGGCGUAAAGGGCGCGUAGGCGGCCAUCGCAAGCCAGUUGUGAAAUCUCUGGGCUUAACCCAGAAAGGUCAACUGAUACUGCGGGGCUAGAGUGCAGAAGGGGCAAUUGGAAUUCUCGGUGUAGCGGUGAAAUGCGUAGAUAUCGAGAGGAACACCUGCGGCGAAGGCGGGUUGCUGGGCUGACACUGACGCUGAGGCGCGAAAGCUAGGGGAGCGAACGGG